UUCUAUUACUGGAACCUCCCAAAGGUUAGAUAUUCCUGAACAUGCAUUGGCUUGUCCGAUUACUGUUUAAUAGCUUCUUACCUGUUUUGAAGCUCUAAUUUUAUUAAGCGAAUUGGACGAAACCCCUGCAUACGAUGGUCCAGUUAAGAGUUUAAACCUAUUAUCUCAAGUCUGAAGUCAUCAUGUUCUGCACUCUGUUUAUCUAAAUUCAAUCCAUUAAUUUAAAGGUGGCAACUAAUCUGCUGUCUUAUUUGCUUCCUCUCCUCCUCUCUCUCUCUCUCUCUCUCGAUGGAGACUAAAGAGAAAACUCUAGAUUCGCUCCCUUAGGGUUUUUUGCCUUGCCAACUGCGAUCGUCCUCCCUUGAUGUGGACCAUGGAUAGUCUCUCUCCCCCUCUCUCUUUUCCCCUCCCUUCCUCCCUCUCUCCCUCUCUCUCACUUCCUGUCUUUCCUUCUAGCUCUCUCCCUCCCUCUCCGACUCUCCGUGUGUUGGUACAUCCCAAAAUGGCACGGUAUGGACCUGUACCGUGCUGAACCGAUCGCCUGCCGGUACCUCUCUCCAGUAUUGGUCCGACAAACCUUGCUUGGAAGUAUUCUAAAUUGAUAUGAUUUGUUAUGUCCGUACCGUGCCGAACAGGUUGCCGACUGGUAGCCCCCUUCGGUACCAGUUCAGCAAACCUUGCUUGGAAGUUCUUGAAUUGAUAUCAUUUGCUAAAUUGCUUGUUGCUAUUGCUGUACUCUAGCAACAUUGAGUGGACCCUCUCUUAGUGAGAUGGAAUUAUGCUUCAUUAUCACACAACUUCAUAUUAGUUCAACACAAAUUCUUCACAUAUUUAAACAACAUGCAUUUGAUAAGCGUAUUUCUUAAGCCAUGACACAAGGAAUUGAUUGGACUGAUUUUUUAUUUCUGUUAGGGCUUAACUACUUUGUAGAGUUUUAUUGACAUGAAAAUUUUAAUGUAUAGUAUUGUUGGUUACCAAUUGAUAACAAGAAUUUGAAGUAUACAUAUAUGGGUCAUUGGGGCCAUGAUAUGUGAAAAGUUGUGGUUAUGAGAGAGUCAGACUUUGCGGAUGAGAGUAACUGAAGUCAACUUUUAUGUUGAUAUGUUCAGGCGCCAGGGGAUUUUCAGUGAGUCAACUGAUUACCUUUAUAAUGCUGCAACACAAGAGAGAGAGACUACGCUUAACCAGCUCUUGAUAGAGCUUGAUGGUUUUGAUACUGGAAAGGGUGUUAUAUUCUUGGGUGCUACCAAUCGUAUGGAUUUGUUAGAUCCAGCACUUCUUCGACCUGGCCGCUUUGACCGCAAGGUUUGUUUUUUGGGCUUAUUGUAUACUUAUUGCGCACUUCUUUUUCAAUUAUCAGAAGUCAAAUUGUAAUUUUAAUGCCUUUUGGAUCUAUUCUGACUUCUUGCUCAGAAGUAUUCAAUGAUGAUAAGCAAAUAUAGGUUAUGCAAACCAUACUUGUGGACCCACCAAUUUCUUCUUUAAUCUAUGUUUGAUAUCCCUGAUAUACAUCUGUUGAUUUGAACGAUAGUAAAAUACAGUCAUGUUAAUCUUAUCCAUUGAAAUUGGUUGGUCGUGGUUUUAAUGCUUUUGCAGCGACAGAAAGUAUCUGAAUCUGAUCCAUGUACAGAUAGAUCUUGUUUGACAUGUCUGUGUUCGAAUAUAAUCAAUAUUUAUAUCUUUCAUAGUCGCAGCUCUCUCCUUUUCCAGGUAAGAAUCCGCCCACCGGGAGCAAAAGGGCGAUUGGACAUCUUGAAAGUUCAUGCUCGCAAGGUCAAGAUGUCACCAACUGUUGACCUGUCAACUUAUGCUCAAAAUUUGCCUGGUAAUUGACUCCCUUCUAUAUUUUUACAGCUUCAUUAAACUCUUGUGAAAUGUUCAACUUAAAAGCCAUUAUAGAAAAAUGUUUGCUUUUCGUUCAGAUAUUCUAUUCAGCUGAUAGAAUAUUAUAUUAUGGAAAACUUAUUUAUAUAUUCUUAAGUGCUGACUGGUGUGAAAGUUCAUUUAAGCCAAAACAUACAGGAUUGGGUCUAGCCUACAUAUGCUUUAUAAUCUUCUUUGUUCACAACUUUAUUCUUAAAAUAGUUUAGCAAUUUCAUGCUAUAGAGUAUGAAAAAUUAACCGUUAAAUGAUUAUACUUUUAAGUAAGCCAUUUUUUGAAGGAAUACGGUGACAUCUUAUAACAAUGCAAAAGCACCUUUAAGUUUGAACUAAAUUCUAGAUUUCUGUAAGAUAUGAUUUACCUUUGGAAGCUUAUCCUGUAUUUUUUUUACUUCCAUUCUCUAUGCAGGUGUACUCUUUUCCCCAUAUGUUUUUGGUUCUAUAUGCAGGUUACGUAAAACAUUUGGGUCACGUAUAAUUAUUUUAAACUAGUUUAUAAGAAUAAGAUCAGAUAUGAUGUGUGUUUGUGCACAUGUCCAGAGAGUUUCAGAGGCAUUGUUAAAUUAAACCAGAGUGCAGCAGUGCAAAUUUGGCAAAUUUGAUCGUUUAAGUUAACCAUGGUAAAAUAUAAGGGCCCUACUUGAACUCAAAAAGUUGGAGUGCAGAAUUAUGCCGUUUUAUCUUUUCAGAUGCUUGUUAAUUAACUAUCAGGGUGAUAAUUGAUAAGUCUUUGGAAAGGAGUUUUUCCAUGUAAUGGUGAAAACAUAUGAGGAAAAGGACUUGGCUUGUUAUAAGAUGAAAUUCAGCUGAGCAGCUGAUUUUGAAGAACAGGAUCUGAUUUAUGCAGACAUCGGUCUGCUAUUGAUUAAAAUUUUCAACCUUUGUAGAGAAUGAUCUUCGCUUUUUUAUAUCUUAUUAAUUUCUCACUUUUGUAGUAGACCGCUUAUCAGUUUAUUGAGUUGAUUCUUGGCCAUAUUAGGUUGGACGGGAGCUCAGUUGGCACAACUGGUGCAAGAGUCUGCUUUAGUGGCUGUCAGAAAUCGACAUGAUUCAAUUCUCCAGUCUGACAUGGAUGAUGCAGUUGACCGGCUGACAGUAGGACCUAAACGUUUGGGAAUUGAAUUAGGUCAUCAAGGGCAAUGCCGGAGGGCUGUGACUGAGGUUGGAGUAGCAAUAACAUCCCAUUUGUUGAGACGAUAUGAAAAUGCAAAAGUUGAAUUCUGUGAACGUAUUUCAAUCAUUCCUCGUGGCCAGGUUCUUUUCUUUUGUGCUCUGUAGGUUUAUUUGUCUUCACAAUGACUUCUGUAUUUGAUUUGGCAAGUUUAUGAUGAAGUAUGAAACUUGAAGCCUUCAAUAAUCUUAAUUUGAGUCGAACCCUUCAAUGAUCAUAAUUUGAAUCAAACCUCUGAAAGUAUUUUAUAUACUUGCAGACGCUCUCUCAAAUUGUAUUUCUUCAUCUUGAUGAAGAGUCAUACAUGUUUGAAAGGCGGCCACAGUUACUGCAUCGUCUUCAGGUAUGGUAUUUUUUUUAUUUUUUUUNNNNNNNNNNNNNNNNNNNNNNNNNNUUCAGGUAUGGAUUAGCUGGUCCAGAACUACCAUGAAGUGGGUUUUAUAGUCAUCAUCUUCUCUUCGACUAUCUGAGUGCUGUUGUAUUCUAUGGAUACGUAAAGGUACUAUUAGGAGGAAGAGCUGCUGAAGAGGUUAUUUAUGGUCGAGACACAUCAAAAGCAUCCUUGAAGUAUCUUGAAGAUGCAACUUGCCUUGCUCGUAAAAUUUUAUGCAUGUAAUGCAUCUUAUCUGUUAAUUUCCAGACAAUUUUCCAUCCACUGUUAUAUGUAUAGAGAGCUGCUUUUCAUUCCUUUUUUAACAGUUGGAACUUGGAGAAUCCUAUGACCAUACAUGGAGAGCCUUUUCCUUGGAUAAAGAAACCUAGCUUUGUUGGUCCUCGUUUGGAUUUUGAAGGAUCGCUCUAUGAUGACUAUGGUCUUAUUGAACCUCCAAUUAACUUUGAUUUGGAUGACCGAGUUGCUCAGAGAACUGAAGAGCUGAUGCAUGGCAUGUAUGGGAAAACAAUUUCUAUGUUGAGAAGGCAUGCUGCAGCCCUUCUGAAAACAACAAAGGUAUCCUAUUUUAAAGUCUUCUUUUGAAACUAAAUUGCAUUUACUUGGUUUUCAUUGAAUGCCGCUAGUGGUUGUGUUACUUUGUCAGUCUAAGGUUUUAGAUGGUCCUUGGUAAUUAUUAUGAUUAUACAAAAUCAACAUAUUAUGUUUCAAAAUGUUAACAUGGAAGAAUAACAGAUAUUAAGGUGGAAAGCUAUUCCCAAUAACAUAGCCAGUGGUUAAAUGUAAGUUUGAUAUUGCUGAUCUAGUCUGUUGUAUGUGCAAUGUUUAACUUUGUAGUUGAUAUCAUCUGCUCUCUGAUGCGGCCUCUCUUUUCCAAAUUUGCAGGUUCUUCUGGAUAAUAAGGAGAUCAGCGGAGAUCAAAUUGAGUUCAUUCUAAAUAGCUAUCCAGCUGAUACUGCAGUAAAGCUUGUUUUAGAGGAGAAAAAUCCAGGAAGCCUGCCCUUGUUUGAGGUGGAUGGGGACCGUGAUAUGGUGCUGUCCCCCUUGCUCCCCAUGAAAGAGGCAGCACAGUGACAUGGUCAUGGCAUGACUCUAGGCUGAUAUCUUCUAACUAACUACGAAGUCCAUGCCAAUGUAGCAAGAUAUGUCGAGACUCUGCAUCAUCGAGUGGUUGGUGGUGGCAUGAAACAGAUGCAGCUGACUUUUCUUUCUUCGGAUUCGAUGUGAAAAAUGAAUUCUCUGCCAGUGGAGAAGAGAGAGAUCAUGAGAGCCACCAGGUUUCAUGAUUGUCAUUUUUCCAUACUGGCAACGGUGUUUUGGUUGGCUUGUUUUGAUUGCCAACAAUCUCUUCUGCUUGAGCUUAAAUCACUAAUUUCACCACAUCAGAUGAGUCUUCAUGUACUUCACUCAAUCUUUUUCCUUGAUUUAUCUGAAUUCUUUUUUUUUUUGUAAAACCCAUUUGAUAAAACAUGAAAACACUCUUGGUAGCUCGACAGGAUAUUGUUUUUCGCUGAUAUUGGUACAUUAACCGGAGCUGCAUCUUCUGAGCCUCACAUUUCUGAAAAUGGAACAUGGAGAUUGAAGAACCAGAUGUUGGCAGAGGGUCAAACCUCCUGAGCUGGCGUUCUUUUUGAAAGGCUUUGCUUUCUAUUACUGGAACCUCCCAAAGGUUAGAUAUUCCUGAACAUGCAUUGGCUUGUCCGAUUACUGUUUAAUAGCUUCUUACCUGUUUUGAAGCUCUAAUUUUAUUAAGCGAAUUGGACGAAACCCCUGCAUACGAUGGUCCAGUUAAGAGUUUAAACCUAUUAUCUCAAGUCUGAAGUCAUCAUGUUCUGCACUCUGUUUAUCUAAAU
RNAcentral lists this long non-coding RNA (5296 nucleotides) under Phoenix dactylifera (date palm). Its description in RNAcentral is "long non-coding RNA (PDAC_LNC003397)". The record is from RNAcentral. Lineage: Eukaryota; Viridiplantae; Streptophyta; Magnoliopsida; Arecales; Arecaceae.